This 509-nucleotide ribosomal RNA is filed under the name uncultured bacterium. RNAcentral describes it as "bacterial SSU rRNA". It matches the Rfam family "Bacterial small subunit ribosomal RNA", at positions 29 to 518 of the family's 1533-position model. The record is from RNAcentral.
AUGAACGCUGGCGGCGUGCUUAAUACAUGCAAGUCGAACGAAGCACCUCUCCCGAAGAUUGAAGCUGCUUGCAGCUGAUUGAUUCAUUUGAGGUGACUGAGUGGCGGACGGGUGAGUAACGCGUGGGUAACCUGCCUCAUACAGGGGGAUAACAGUUGGAAACGACUGCUAAUACCGCAUAAGCGCACAGUACCGCAUGGUACAGUGUAGAAAAACUCCGGUGGUAUGAGAUGGACCCGCGUCUGAUUAGCUAGUGGAGGGUAACGGCCCACCAAGGCGACGAUCAGUAGCCGACUUGAGAGAGUGAUCGGCCACAGUUGGGACUGAGACACCGGACCCAAACUCCGUACGGGAGGCAGCAGGUAGGGAAUAUUGCACAAUGGGGGAAACCCUGAUGCAGCGACGCCGCGUGAAGGAUGAAGUAUUUCGGUAUGUAAACUUCUAUCAGCAAGGAAGAAAAUGACGGUACUUGACUAAGAAGCCCCGGCUAAAUACGUGCCAGCCGCAGC